CACGCUCGGACGACAGCGUCCCUUUGCAACCCGUCACGUGUUCGCUUGCGUGUCUUCCAUUUUCUGGCUUACGUUCCUGCCCAAGUGUAUGCCUGGGAGCACACCCACCAUCGAAACCCUUCAAUAAUAGCAAGCAAGCACAAUGGAAGAGAGUGGGUGGAAAGAGUGGAAUCGUGGGAAAGCGCUGCCUCCGGCUGAGCGAAUUAUCCUACAGGCCGCUGCUUCUUCCUCGUACGUCUGCCAUUCUCUGCAACUCCACCCUGUGUAAUGUGGAGAAGUGGACAAGGGACCAGAAAAAUGAAGGGAACUCUAGGGAACCCACAGGCCUACUUCAUCCGGGGGCAUAUCUCAGAUAUCUUACUCCUCAACCCCUCCGGUAACAUAUCACAUAACCUUGCAUCUGUUUACUUCUCAGAGUG
Molecule: long non-coding RNA, 419 nt
Organism: Ictalurus punctatus (channel catfish)
Lineage: Eukaryota; Metazoa; Chordata; Actinopteri; Siluriformes; Ictaluridae
Source: Ensembl